AUGAACAGGAAUAUGUGAAAUACAUGUUUCUGGCGAGGAGCUUCUCAAAGCUUCAGUUAGGUUAAUGCACACAGCCAAGAACUGAAAUGAAUCUUCUGCAUGCAACCACCAACGCUUUCCGUCAAGUGGUUUGUCUGCGGAAUCAAAUAUAGCAUCAAGGUGAUUCUCAGUAAAAGCUAUCCGUCCCUUGUAAGAUAGCUUGUCUACACCACCAGCAAAUAGAUUUGCAAUGUGUAUCUUCAGCCAGCGUAAGCCUGACUUUCCAAGAGGGCGUCCCUCUGCGAACUCCAAAAUCCCCCGGCACAGAUCUGAUCCAAGAUGGUUUAAGUAUGGGUGCAUGGGGUAGGCACGCCCACGAAAGUCAAUAUUGUGUGGAUAAUAGAAACCUUCUUCAUCUUUCAUCUUCCGUGCUACCUGGAGCCAAUUAAGAAUGAUGGCAUGAACGCCAUCAAGAAGAUUGAAAGUGUACUGUCUAAAAUAAAGUAAAUUGAGUCUUACAGCAAGUUUAAAUUCUAUGUCACAACGCUGUGCAUGUCUUUCCCUGUUCUCUUUUUUCACUCCUCUAAGUUUCCACUUCCACUUCUAAAGUAGUGCUUUAUCUUCUGUUUCUGGCUUCUCAGGUAAAGGAUCCUGAAAUGAAGAAAUUAAAUGAGAAAGGUUUUUUAGUUGCUAUCAUGAUCAAUUCUUGGAACACAAAGGUAAAGGUAAAGGAGUUUCUCAGGAAAAAAAAAAGUUACAUUGAGGAAAGUUAGAAAAGAUACUCACAUCACUGUAAAAUUAAUUCCCUAGUGUAUCCAGGGCCUGGAAAAUUAAUUCAAACAAAAGAGAAUCCUUGUUAAACCAAAAGCUAAGCUGGUAAAAUCUACACAUGUGAUAGCAUGUGAAGGUAUACACAAUUAUCAGUAUAAGAUUGUGUUCAAAGCACAUCACAUGUUAGUACCAAAAGAUGAUUUAGGUCAAACAAUAAAAUACGCAUCAGUAACCAUGCAAUGCAUCUAAUGUGUACAGACCUCAAAAACUGGUUGUAGCUGCUUCCUAGGUGCCCUCUUAACUGCUUCACGUUGCUGUUUAGCACCAUGUAUCCGCAUGACAUAGGAUGGUAAGAACAAGUGAGCUCCUUUAUCAUAACUGCAAAGGGCAUUGAGGUUAUGCUCGACACGAGUAAGAGAGAGGUAAAUAUCACAAGCUAUGACACAAUUAUCUAAGAAGAGCUUAGAACACACCAAAAAGCUACUUAAAUGCCAGGUCCUGAUUUGUUAGUAGAAGCAAUAGUGGUGUUAAGAGUUGCUACAACUACAUGGGAACCAGAAUACAACCACAAACUCAUUAAAUGCCAGAUUAAAGUAGCGUAUGUAAGGAACAUGUAUUAAGAAUUUGUAUCUUCCAAAUUUGUAUACAAGGAUCUAAAAUUAAUUUUAGUGGGGACUAUGCUAAUGUGCCUCCUGCAACUUGCAUGAUGAUUGAGUGAAAGAGCCAAGACCACUAUAAACUUGCUAGUAAACAAAGUGCUCUUUCCCCAAAACCAAUUCAUGAAAUGGUUUUCAUCUGAUGCUCAAUCUGAUCAAAUUAAGAUAUUCAGAGAUCAAUCACUGGUUUAAAUCUUUUCUUUUUGUAGAUAGAAAGUGUGCCCAGGAAUCUCAGUCCUAAUGGGCAAUUUACAACCAAAAGCGCUAGGGAGCUUAUCAGAUUUAAAGGCAAUAGGUUGAAUGGCAGAAGCUGCCAUAGAGGCCUCUUCAUAUUCCAAAGCAUGUGUAGUUUUUCAAUUGAGGAUUGUGAUCACCUAUUCAUGAAAAACUUAACCAAAGUCCAUGAAAAACAUAUCCUAACUAACUUGCCAAACAAUAAGGUUCAAAAAUCUCAGUUUGACAGCAGAGAUCCGUCUAUGCCAUUUCUCCCAUGUAAUCAUCUGUUGUCUCCUUGCGCUUCUGGCACAUUUGAAAUUUGAAAUAAAUACCUAUAUAUGAAUCAUCACCUAAAGAAACUAAACUACUUCAAUCAAGUUCUCUAUGUACUAUCCUAAUCCUAAAUUAACUACAUGUCUGACUUCACAUGAAAACAACAAUUCAAUACUCUUAUCUUUUCUUGCGCUAAAAUAAUCCACCACAGCAUCCUUGUAGAAAACCUAACACCUUUUCUUUCUCUAUAUUUUAUCUCUAACAGCCAACCAUUCUUUUCCAUGAAGUAUACCUCUCCCUUUAACAUCAAAAACAUUAUAAUAAAGAAUUCCAUAGCAAUCCCUAAAUUCUCCUGCCUGUGGCACUAAUGUUAAUUUUCCGGUAUUAGACAUGGUUGUGAUUAGCAAAUGCUCUUCAAUGUUUAAAGACAGUGUUCUCCGUUUUGUUGAGAAUCCUAGACAAAACCUUCCAUCUCAUAUCUCACAUUCACCAUGUUUUCAAUAAACACCUGCAAGACAAUUAGUUUCCCUUCCAAUGGAGGUUACAGAAAUGGAGAGGCAGAGCCUUGAGACAUGCUGAAAUGUUAAUUUCAAUUAACUGAAAUUGGGAUUGGAAUUCCAGUCUUUAUAAUCAGAGAUUCAUCCCUUCAUCUAUUAUACCAUUUUAAGCAUUUAACUUGACAUGAAAAUUGAAAAUAGCUCCAGGCAUCAAGCAGAAGUAACCAAAACACUAUGUUAAUAUUUCUGAACUUGGAAUAUAUCCAACUAAAAAAUAUAAAAUUAAAACAAGACAAUCGUGGAAAAACUGUAAAUAUAAAACAAGUUAACAUACCCUCUCCAUCUAAGUGGUGGCACUAACAUUGGCAUAUAAGGAAUCACCAUGUGCCUAGCCUGUUUGGAGAAACAACAUUUUUAUGACUUCUUGUGCAAGAAAAAAGAAUGAAAGACAAACAUCUGCAACUUAAGAGGCACCAUGGAAAUUGCCUACAAAUCUUAUCUGUUUCAGCUCUAAAAUCUAGAAACUAACCUAUCUGCUUUGAAAGUAUAUGGCACCCCGACACAAGUUCAUGUCAUAAAGAAUGAUAAAAUAUGAAAACUAGAUAUCACUAGAAAAACAAAAUAUGACAGGGUUACUCACAGUUUUCUCUAGGCCUUUGAGGACUAGAGGGUCACAUUGUAUAACACCAUAUUUUUUCGCGCCCUUCCUGUUUAAGAAAAGGCCAUUGUGCAUCAGUUAGGAGCAAUUACAAGAAAGAAAAGAUAAAUUGAGCACAUCGAGUCAAUUAAAGAAUCACUCCAUACUUAUUUUCAUAUGACACAGUUCUGAAUGUAUGUACAAAUGCAGGUCGAGGUUCAGAUGGACUAUCAGCUAACUGAUCACAGGGAGGCUGUAUAUAAGCUGUUUGUAACAGCAAUUCAAUUAGACGGCUUCCAACCUGCAAAGUGUAAGGACAGAAAUCAAAUUGGUACACGAUACAUUUUUUUUAAGAAAAUUAGCCUUUAUCAAUGAUUACAAGCACACAAACCUUAGCCCUAGCAUCUGCAUUCCAUGGUUUUGAAUCAUCCUUCCCCUUCACAAUCUUCCUCACAGCUGGCAGCUUUUGUUUUUUAAUCAAAUCAGUAACCUUUUUUCUUAGGUUUUCUUGUUCCUUCAUGACAGCAAGGGAUUCACCUUCUACACCAUUCUUGCUAUCAUUAGCCUUUUCCUUUUUCUUCCUUGUUUUCUCCAAGAUAUUGUGUAUUCUAAUAUGUUUCAUCACAGAAACUGUUACAGAUUCAGUCCUCAGUUCAAAGAAAGAGAACAAGACUGAAGAGUUAGGAGUUCCAAAAAAUGGAUUAAGAAUGGUACACCUAAAUAUCUCUUCAUUGUAUAGUUCUUUUUUUAAGAGAAAACAAGGAAAAGAAAAGAGUAAGCAACUCCCAUAGUCAGAAGAGACAGUAGAGCAAAGUGUCACGCAUGCCUUUAAAGUCUAAACCAAGAGAAAAAAUUAAACAACUUACAAAACAAAGGCACAAACAAGAACACAAAUAAUUGAAAUGAUAAAGAUAAUUGCUGUCCCCAACAGGGAAAUGCAAAAGCAUAAAUCCAUAGUGAAACAAUGUCGAAACAUUAGAUGAGCUCUGACAAAGGAAAGUUGAAUGUCACUCUUAUGAGUCUACCAUGCCCAUGCUUUGAAGAAAUUGUAGCUCAAAAAAGAAAGGUGUAAUAGAAUAUUCAGCCUAACAAGGCCCGUGAUAUGAAAAGUUUAACACUUAAUGAAAAAAUUGUAAAAACUUACUAUCUAAAGGAUCUUACACUACAUUGUUUUUCGUACCUACAUUUAGUGUCCUCCCUGGAACCAUGAACAGCAGAAGAACUUGGACUGAAAGUAAAAACUAUAGAUAUAUAAAAAAGAAAUCCAGAAAAACUCCAUUCAACAUUCGACAAAACUUUACGGAACGUAACUUCAAAAUCUAAUUUUCCAGGCAAUACUAGCUCCAUAGCUGAUUUUUAUCUCAUAAUUGUACAUAGUAACUUUCAUCUUUCUUCCUAGUUCAUCACCUCAGAUGAAGGUUGUCUAAAAGUAAAUUUAAGAAACUUUAUGUUUUCCCUUAUCUUUCAAUAUUUUUAUACGGGCACUCAUUAUCCUCUGUCUACAAAUCAAACCGCAAGUAAAAAUAAGCAAAUAAAACAUUAAAAAUUACUUACCUCCUGCUCAAUUGCAUCACCAAUCAUACAAGCAGCAGUCACAACUCUUGCACAUCCAUGUUCCCCACCUAUCAUUACCAUUGCUGCGAGUUGAUGCAUUGCAAUAACAGACAUCUUGUCAGCUGGCAACAGAUCAAAAUACGGAGCAUAACCCUGCCUACUCUUCCCCGUUCUAAUCAACUCCUGCUCUUUCGCAAUUGCAUCUGUAAAAGGCUCAAACCAACCAAGGAACAAACUCUUCAUAUAUGGCAAAUUAGGAGCCAACUUAUGCUCACACAUAUCCUUCAAAAGCUCCUUAUAUUCUUUCGUUGCCAGUUCCCAUGCUUCCGCCUCAAUCUUCACUUGCCUUCUCCUUAAGACCCUAUGCUUCCUUGACCCUAUUCCAGGGUUAGCAUGUAGCCUCCUCCUCCUAAAGUGCUCCUCUUUCUCCUCUUCUUUCCUCAUUUCUGGCAGCAAUUCAUCCGCACCAGACACAUUAUCUUCAACAUCUGUUGAUGACACUGCCUCAGCUACACUCACAUACCCUCUUGGACAAAAUCCAGCACACCGAUUCCCAUUAGUACGUUCACUAUUUCUCGAAAAAAUAGAACCGGGUUUUCCCAUAAAAUCUUCAUGGGUUGAUAUUUCGCCAAUUGCUCGAAAACUCAGUCGUGGACUUGUGUUAUUAAGCGAAUGCAACUUGAGUUUCUCAAAAAAGAUGGGUUCUUUAGAGGCUCCUAAUUUAAUAUGGAAACAAUCCUUCCAUCCGCAAGCAUGGGAUUAUCCUAAAUUUAAGAAGAAAAUCCAUACAAAGUAAAAUGUGAAUCUAAUUCCCCAAACCAAAACCAUGAGCAAAAACUACUGAAGAUCUUCAAGCUAAAGAAACUUUUGGAGGUGUAGUCGCAGCAGCCGCAGCAGGUGCUGCUGCUGCAGCACCACCUGCUCCUGCUCCUGCCGCUGCAGUUGCACCUGCUCCACCUCCUUCUGCAGUCGCUGCAGUUGUUGCUGCCGCUGCAGGUUCACCUGUUGCUGCCGCUGCAGGUUCACCUGUUGCUGCCGCUGCACAAGCAUCCGUCGUCGCUGCACGAGCAUCCGCCGUCGCUGCAAGAGCACUCGCCGCCGCUGCACGGGCACCCGCUGCACGAGCACCCGCCGCCGCUGCACAAGCGGCGGCUGCCGCUGCAGCUGCUCCUCCUCCUGCUCGACCUGCUCCUCCUCCUGCUCGAGCAGCAGCUGCUGUAGCUCAGGUAUAGUGAAACUGUACAUGGAAUCGAUGUUACAUGGGUGUUAAAAAAAACAAUUAAUAAAAUAAUAUCUAUCCAAAAAUAAAUAAAUAAUAAUAAUUACAGAUGAGGAAUAUUAAUUGAAACAUAAAUUUAAAAAAUAUUUUUAAAAAAAUAAUAAAAAGAAAGAAUUAAUUAUUACCUUUUCGAUACAGAUGAAAUCUCAACUUUAUUGAGAAUAUCCAUCCAUCUUUGUACCUUCUCCUUGUUUUCCCUGAAAUUUUCUUCAUUCUUGUCAAAGACAAUUGUGUAACUCUCUGUUUGAUCAUUUAUCUUUGAUUCUUCGACAUCAUAAGAAACUGGAAACACGGUAUCCGAUCUCAUCUCAUCCAUGAAUCCAAAAAUCUUGACAAGUUCGUUAAAGCACCAAGGUAAAGAAGCACAAUCUCUUGCAAAUAUAAUAAUUGACAACCCUGAUUCUUCAAUGGCCUCAAAGAGUCUUGAUCUAAUUGCCAUUACUUUCUCUUGUUCCUUCCUGACUGGGAUAAUAACUCUCCGAGCUAGAUCUGACUUUAAAUAGGUGAUAACAUUGCUAGUGUCUGCGGCUCUGAUGCCAGGGAAAACACUAGCCAUCCAAUGAUGGUAAGAUGAAGAAAAAGCUAAAGUUGCUUUAUAUGAAGAAGCUGUUUCUAAACUUGUAACAAUAAAAUGGGCAGAUGGUUGCGAUGUACUAUACAGAGAAGAUAACAAACAAACACCACAAUUCUUCACCUUUACUCGUCGCUCGUCGGAAUGAAAUGACAACUCAAUGUUGCUAAAGGAUCCAUGCUUCCAUUCUUUAAGCUCUUUAAGGUAAUCAAAAGAUAGAUAGAAUAGCCACACAUGAUCUGACAGAACUUGGAUAGAAUUACAACUAAUACUUAUCAACGAACGAUAAUUCUCUCUUCCAUUGGCUUUGAAAUGACAAGAAAGAGGACUUUCACCAUUUGCACUGAAUGCAACAUACGCAACAAACCCCAUGCUCCAACUAGGCACUUGCACACUAAUUGAAGAUCCCUUACUUUGAUGGUUAAACCAGCCUGGAAUUGUAUUUCCUGGAACAACGAUACCAAAUCCAGGUCUUGGAUUAGACAAACCCUGUACCAUGAAGAACCAAAAUGUUAGAUAGAUAGAGGGAGAGGGAGAGAGAUACAAAGAGGUUGAGGUAUGAUUAAGAGAAGACCUUGAGGUAUCUUUCAAGCAUGGUCAACCCCAUGUUGUCUUGGCCAUUAUGCUCGUACAAUUCCCAGCAGUUAAGACAUAUGAACUCUGAUGUUUCGAAACUGCUUAGCUUUAUCGGAUCUGGAAUUUCUUUUAGGCGUAUACAACCAUUCAAAUUUAAUGUUUGAACUUUUGAUGGAACCUCAGGCAAUGAUUCAAGCAUCCUACAAUCCUCCAAGACAAGCAUUUCGAGUCCAGAAAGCUGAUUUAUGCUUUUAGGCAGGCUAAUAAAGUUAUUCUGGCUCAGAUUUAAAGACUUCAAUGAAGAUAAGCAGCCAAUAUCUUCAGGAAGUGCCCCUUCUCUUAGAUUGCAAGCGCAUAAAUCCAAUACUUCUAAAGAACACAGACCCAACAAAGAAGGCAACCUGUGAUCCGUGGGAUUCAUAGUUAUUCUUUUGCAUCCAUCAAAAGAUAAUACUUUAAGAUUCUUUAAAAGAAAAAUGGAUGCUGGCAGUUGUCUUAUUGAAGUUCCACUUCCAUCAAACUCCUCCAAACUUUCAACUUUCCCCAAAUUCUCUGGUAUAUAUUUAAGUUUAGAGCAACCAGACAGAUCAAGUUUUUUAAGGGAUUUCAAACAACCUAUGCUACUUGGAAUGCUUUCAAGGUUCUUGCAGUUGUUCAUGCUCAAUACAUCUAAGCCAAUCAAAUGACGAAUUGAUGAAAAUAGUUCAACAAUACCAGUCUCGUCCAAACGAAGCACCAUCAAACAGUUCAUGUUUCCUACUAUAUCUGGAAACUUCUCAAGUUUUGAGCAGCCAUCAAGAAUGAAAACUUUAAGCGAUUCCAUUUCAAGAUUGUUUGGGAGAAUCCUAAUACUUUGCAGCACAAGAUUCACAUAUUGAAGCUUCUUGUGAUGUGCAAGUGAUGGAUGGACCUCAGACAAACUUGUACAACCUUCAAGAAUAGUUCUCGAGAUUCGGAAUUCCAGUAAAAUCUGGAGUCUUGAUCAGGUUUAGUGAGUUGCUGAGAUUGAUGAUUUUCAAAUUAACUGCACUCUGCAAUCAGUCAGGGAGAAGAAAUAUGGAUCUACUAUCAUACAUAUAUAGGAAAACGAUAAAAAAAAUACAAAGGUCCUUAAAUUAGGUGAUCUCACCUUACACCCAUACCAUAAUUGCUCAAUACUAUUGUUAGCCAUGUGAAGUUCAACUAGCUCAUCCACCUGUAAACCAGCUGGCAAUGAUUUUGAAGGGUAAGAAUGCCAUUCAAGAAAUCGUAGCUUAUUGGAAAGAUCUUCAGGUCCUUCAGAAAGCUGCACGUUGUUGAUUUUGAGCAAUCUUAGUUUGCUCAUUUUAGAGAAGGCUUCCAUGUUCCAUUGUGAUUCUUUUAUUUCAGGCAUGUCUAGGAAAAUGGCUUCUAUUUUUUCUUUUCCCUGUCAACCAAAAGGGGAAUACAAGUAAAAAACAAAUACAAAGUAGAGAUGGAGCGUAAAUUAAAAUAAACUUCAUGAAAUCUUAUCAGCUACUCACUGUGUUGUCCAUCAGUGCAAGGCAGACAUCCUCGUAUGUCCACAAUCUACUACGCCUUCCAGGCUCUUCAGAGGAUUCACAACGAACAAUUUCCUUGCCCAUUAUCUGUAAUAAAUUAUGCAUCCAGAUUUGAUCCCGAGAGACACUUAUGAGUGAUUUCUCAAUAAGAACUUGUGUUCCAAUAUGUGCAUGGAAUCCACAGCUGUCAAGUAUCCUUAUUAUUCGAUCUUUUUUAAAUCCCUUAAGGAAACAAGCAAUGUCUAAAAAUAUUUUCUUCUCUAAUUCAUGGAGGCCAUCAAAACUAAUGCGAAGCACAUCAAUAAUUUCACGGUCAGGAAUAUAAUUUAGUCUAUUAAUGGCACUUCCCCAUUCAAGGAUACUUCUUCCAUGCAUAAACGAACCUAUAACUUCAAGAGCCAGUGGAAGGCCAUUAGCAUAGCCCACAACUUGCUUGGAUAGUUCCACGAAAUCUUCAACAGGUUGGUCAUUUUUGAAAGCUUUCUGGCUAAACAACGUAAGAGCAUCAUCAUCAUUCAAUUUCUCAGCCUCAUAUAUUCUAGCAACACCAUUUCUAGUCAACACUUGUUUAUCUCUGCUUGUUAUGAUAAUUCUGCUCCAUGGACCAAACCAUUUACUCUCCGCAGCCAGGGAUUCUAGUUGUUUAUGGUCAUCUACAUCAUCAAGAACAACAAGAAUCUUUCUACAUUGUAACCUCCGCUUUAUCAUUUCAAUUCCUCUAGAAGAAUCACAUAUAUUAGCGCGUUCCAUUAAGAUUUCAGAAAGAAGUUGUUCCUGCAAACGACGUGGUCCAUCUUUCUCAGAAAAAACUUCUCUGACAUUUGCUAAGAAGCAGCUGCCUUUAAAUUGCCAACGAAAGCUAUCAUAUACUACCCUUGCAACAGUCGUCUUACCUAUGCCACCCAUCCCACAAAUCCCUAUGAAGAUUGCUUCGCUAACUUCUUCACCUAUAAAACCAUUUAAUAUCUCUAGACGAGAAUCUAUUCCCACUAAUGUUUUGCUAACUGGCAUAGUGACGCUUAGUUUGUAGGAUAUGUAUUCAACAAUUAUAUUAAUUGAUUCCGAUUCUUUCCUGCAUAGGAGGGUGCAAAACAUUAAUCAUGUUGUGUGCAAAUCAAAUCAGAUAGUGAUAAUGGGAAAAUAAAGAUAUAGCUCAAAAAUGUAUGGCUGCUAGCCGGAAAUUAAUACAUCAAUCUUUGAGAAAGAUAAGGCUUUGACAAUAGAUAGCUUUAAUAACAAAGAGAAAAGGAAAGAAUAAACUAAAAAAGGAACUAAGAUUGUAUUAAUGCUAAGAAUGGUCCGUACAAUAUCUAUGUUAUUGCCUAUAGAAUCACACAGUUACUAAAGAAGCAUGCAUAUAAGAACAAAAACUCUUCAUUAAGUUUGGCUUUGACAGACCAAAAGGAAAAUGGAGUUCUUCUAUCAUAUUUUUUUAUCAACCACUAAGUUAUUUUUAUAAUUAUUUUUAACAAAAAUUUCAAUUAUCUUGCAUAGUAAACUUUUAAAAAACAACUUUAAAUUUAUUAAUUUUCGAGGUUUUUCCUAUAUGCUACCCAAAAAAUAUUUCUUAGACUAACAUAGUUUAAGUGGAUGCCCAAAUCCAAUCCACGCACCUUGAGAUGCACAAAUAUCACACAUGUUAAUAUUAUUCUUUUUUGCAAAUUAAUGGAUGAAAUAAUCGUAAUAAUAGAACUAAAGUUAACUAAAUAUACAAAUUGAGAAACCAGAUGAAUAAAUGGGCCAAUAAAAAAAAGAAAGGUAGAUUUUUUUGACAUGUAAGACCUGCAUGUCUCAAGUUGCAUAAGUGAGAUCUUUAUGGGUCUAUUUGCGAUUAUGAUAGGAAUUAUGAUUCAAAGUGUUUUUUGUUUAGAAAUACAUCAAAAUAAUAUUUUUUUAUUAUUUUAAAAAAAAUUAUUUUUGAUAUCAACAUAUCAAAACGAUCUGAAAAUAUAUAUAAAAAUAAUUUAAAAAAACACGGCAAACCACGUUCCCAAACGGACUCUACAACUCGUGAAACAAUGCUAGUUUGGAAAGUUUUUUUACCCACCUAUACUAGUUUGAAAUUGUUUUUACAUUAAUUUUAUGUUUUUUUAACAAAAAGGCACCUAUCAAAAUUUAAUUCCAAAUUAAAAAGAAAAACAUAAAAAUAAAAAUAUUCACAAUAUAUAUAUAUAUAUAUAUAUAUAUAUAUAUAUCUUUUAUUUAUAAAUAGUUGGAAUUUUUUAAUUAAUUCAUGAUGGAAAAUAUUUUUAUUUUAUUUUGAAAAGUUAAAACCAAUAUAUUCAAAAACUUUGGUCAAUUUUUUAUUUCUUAUGAUGAUUUGUUGUCAUUUCUUCACAAUUUUUUAUUUUUUAAGCUAACUUUUUAUUUGUUCAUGCUAGAUUUGUUUUUCAACAUUUUUAUACAUUUUAAUUUUUCUGUUUAAUAUUUAUUUUAUUUUCAAAAUAUAAAGAAAAACCUAAGAAUAGAAAGAAGUUUUAUAUAAAGAUUAGAAAUGCUUGAUCGCAUCAGUUCAAAAUAUCAUAAAAAAAAAAAAAAAAAAAAAACAUGCAUAUGAAAAAAAUACACAUUUACUAUCAUGCUUGUUCAUCAAUGAAAAAAAUACACGUUUCCGCUCGGUUACCUCUGAGGGAUCCACAUCAUAAAACUCUGAGGGAUCCACAUCAUAAAAAACUGGCAGAACAGUUUGGCCCAUCUCUUUCAUGCACUGAACAAUCUUGACAAGUUCAUCCAAGCACCAUGGUGAAGAUGCGUAAUCUCCUGAAAAUAUAAUGACUGAAAACCUUGAUUCUUCAAUGGCCUUCCAGAGAGCAGGUUCGAUGGGCUUUCCUCUCUCGAGCUCCCUAUCAUCCAUGUACACAUCGAUGCCUCUCUGUUUCAGAUUAGAAUAUAGAUGACUAGUAAAGUUGUUCCGGGUGUCUUUGCCUCUAAAACUAAGGAACACAUCAUACAUAUACAGUGGAGGAGGAUAAGAUGAAGAUGAAGAUGAAGAUGAGGUUAUUCCUUGCACGCUGGUGGAAGCCAUGAAAAUCCCUAUAGCGAUAAACUAGUACCGUGUGUAAGGCCUGCUCCUGUGGUCAAACAUGAAACAGAAGGUAAGAUCAAGAAAUUUGGCAAUUAAAUCUACCAAUUAGUAAUUUCAAGCUGGAACAUAUCAGAAAACACCAAAUUUCUACGAGUAAUUCACGAAUCUAGACGAAACAAACCGUGUGGUAAGUGUUGGCUAAAGAGGCACAAGAUCUAGCCAAGCCCAAUGACGUCGAAUUUUUUUCCGGUUCCUUGAGGUCAAGAACUCGUACUGGUAAGUUUACACUGUAAAGAAGAUGGAGUUUCGGUGGAGAAAAAGCAAAAAGAGAAAUGAAAGGGAUAUCGAACGCGCAUUGGGCAGCAGAGGCACCUUCCUGUCAAAAGCAGGGGUUAGGCCACAUACAUCACAAUUGAGUUGAUUCAUAUUUUUUAAUGAAUUCUCAAGUCAAGCAUUCCAAGAACUUUUGUCAGGAUCUGCCACACACAUCACAAUGGAGUUUAAAAUACAUAUUCUUUAACUACUUUUGUCUCUUUUCCAGCGCAUAAAGCUUUUGCAUUCCGACAACUUUCCAACAAAAUUUUUAAAACUGACCUUGAAAUUAAACAAGAAAAAAACACCAUAAAGCAAAAGUUCUAAGGUGAAUCACAACAAUCGUGCGAAGAUUCAUAUACUGCUUGGAGUUGUUACAAUGGUUAAAAGUUAUUUAAAAAAGCUAAUUAUAUUUUAAUAUAUUUUAUAUUAAAUUAAUUUUAAUAUAAUUAUAUAAUUAUUUUUUAUAUAAUAUAAUCAUGUUAUACAAUUAAUAUAAAUAAUAUGAAAGUUAAAAGAAACAAUUUUUAGUUUUCUAUUAUAUUAUUAAAAAAUUUAGGCUUUGAGGUUUGCAGGCUUUUCUCCUUCUUGUUCUGUUUUUAAAGAGAAAAACAAAAGCCUAUUGUAGAUAAAGAAACAUUUUUUAAUCGAUUAAUUUAGUUUUUUACUUGAUAUAAUUUUUCCAAUGAACUUUUUUUUUUAUUUAAUUGAUUUUUUAGUUUUCUUGAGUAUCAAUAAUGCUUAAUAUACUGAAAAUCAGGAAACCAAAUACCUUGAUAAAGUCUGCAAAAAAGCAAAGGGAUGAUUUGAUAUUAUCAGUAAGGAUAAUCAUUCUAAAAUUGUUGCUUUUUCUUCUUUUUAGAUAUUCAAACAUAUAAAGAUUUUAUCCGGUUGCUUUAGGUCAAGAACUCGUACUGGUAAGUUUCCUGGAUUUUCCUAUGGAUCUUUUUCUUACACUGUAAAGAAGAUGAGUUUCGGUGGAGAAAAAGCAAAAAGAGAAAUGAAAGGGAUAGCGAACGCGCACUGGGCAGCAGUCAGCAGAGGCACCUUCCUGUCAAGAGCAGGGGUUGGCCCCACACAUCACAGUUGAGGUUUGCAGGCUUCUUUCUUCUUCUUGUUCUGUUUUUAAAGAGAAAAACAAAUGCCAACUGUAUAUAUACUUUCUCCUUGCAUUUGGUUUUUUUCUACAUAGAGAUGUAAAAAUAGUAUUUUAGUAGAAAAAAAUAGUAUUUUAGCUAUUCAAAUAGCUAUGCUCCAAUGACUUUAAAUUAUAAUUUGGAUGACAAAAUUUAACAAUGAAAGGCAUAAUAAAAUAUAAUCUAUAAUAAAUAUCAUAUUGAUAGCUUUGUUUUAAAUAUUUAUAUAAUUUUUUGGUCUAGUAGGAUCGAAAUGACCCUUCCAAUGUAUAAAUUAUAGUUGUUUAAAACAAUACAUUUAGUCCAAAAGUUAGAAAAUAGCUUUGUUUUAAAUAUUUAUAUUAUUUUUUUCACAUAAAAUAUAUUAAUUAACAAAAGCUAAAAUAUAUAGUGAAAUCACUGUAACUGGUAAAACACUGGAGGUUUUAUCUUUGGUUUGUUGGAAAGUAAAGUUGUUUUUUAGAGCUGUUUUGGUCCUUUGAUUUAUUUGUUCAAUUCACAUACGCACUUUGAUUUACAGUUGGUUAGAAAAAAAUAAAUUGUUCAUCUCUAUGGUUUUGGGAUUCUCAAUGAAUUGAUAAUGAGGUCAACGACAGUGACUGUAUACCUUCAUUCGACUUCAUUUUUAUCAGGUAACAGUAAUCUUUUUGUUUUCACCUAUAUGAUAUUUUAGUUUAAAAUCUAUUUAGGGUACUAAAUACUAAUAUGAACAAGCUGCUAUAAUGUUUUUAGUUUAAGAAAAAAAAAAAGCUUUAAAAACUUUAUUUUAACCAUGAUUUUUUAUUUUCAAAAUUUUUUUCAUUUAAAAAUACAUUAAAAUAAUAUUCUGAAGAUCAACAAACCAAAACAAUUUUAAAAUAUAAAAAAUAAUUUAUAUUUUUUUAAAAAUAAAAAAAUAAAAAACAUAGUUUUAACUGUAUUUCUAAAUGAUCUUUUCAAAUAAUAGCAACUUUUUAUUAUCCAAAAAAAGAAGUUUGAAUUAUCCAGAAAACCAUGACCAGAUCUGGAGAAGGGUUCCUUCACUCUAGAAGAUGAGUGGCCUUUGUUAAUUUUGUAGUCAAGUGAAAACAAACUAUAUUAGAUUCUUAGAACCCUUUCUUGAUCAAUUGGUUAAUUUCUGUUAGCCAAUGCUAUACUGUGGGCAUGAUUCCUAUUUUCUGUUAGCCAAUGCCAUUUUCAAUCAUUUUCAGCAAAAAAAAAAACCAACGAACAACGUACUAAAUGAUGCAAUCAAUGACAAAAAGUAUGAGGAUAAAGAAAGGAAUCACUAUUAAUAAUUUUGUUAGACUAUUAUGAAUGAAAGGACACUUUAAUGUAUGAAAUGCUAGCUAUAAUUAUUUCCACGAAAUGUAUGUUUCUAAAACUCAAUAUUUAUAUUUUUCAAAUCACUUCACGUACGUCUGCUACAAAGAACAUUCAUCACAUUAAAUUAAUACGACUUAAACAACUGCUACUUGGCCAAGCUGUUGGGUCACGACUUAAACAACGAAGACCAAGCUGUUGGUCUCUACUCUCUACUUCGCACGUCCUCGGGAAGCAUAUCCUUAGAAUGGAGAGCUGGCCACACGAGACAGUUGCUACCUGGCCAAGCUGUUAGGUCACGACUAAAACAACGAAGACCAAACAAUUGUUAUUAGUAUGGUGCUAUCCUUUGUCACAAAUUGUUAAUUAUAUAAUGCCUACCAUUUCUUAAUUAUAAAUUGUCAGUAAAACACAUAUCAUAACAACACCUACCUAGCUAUCUUAUAAAUUAAUAGAACACCGUAUACAUAAACAACUCAUUUUACAUGUUAUCUAUGCAUAAUAUAUCUGUUGUUGCACUCUUUCCGAGCUAAUUUCAUGUGACAUGAGAUAUACAUAAAUAUUUAAGAUUACUAAGUAACAAACACACAAAUAACAAUUCUUUUAAGUUCUUCUUCUCAUUGUUAUACAUUAUUUUUCUCAUGUGUGUUUGUUAACAUAGUCAUCACAGAGUUCCCUGUUCCAUGAAAAACUUGUUUUUGUAGGAGUUCAUGAACCACAAGCCUAACCCAAUUAGAAAAUUUCAAAAUUCAUUACCUAGGUUUAAUUUGAUGAAUUUUCAACUUCGUCAAUAACGCCUUCUGUUGGAACUAGAAGAAAAGCUAGUUUAGUCCCUUUUCUUUUCUAGUUCUUUCCAUUGAUGAUAACUUAGAAAUGACAGGACAAGGGAGAGGUAACGAUCUCCCCACUACAGGAGCACCAUCUCCUUCAACAAAUCCCUCAUUGCAUGAAAUUGCUCAGUAAAGUUAUUUUAGCCACAUAAGAAUUGAUCAGUAAGGGAAAAUAUGCAUGUUUUUUUUUUCUGUUUUAGUUUAGUUUAGUUUAGUUAUUUCUUUUUAAUGUGAAUUGAUCACAGUGUUAAUUUUAUGCUUUUAUGAGUUUAAUCUUCUAUUUAAUUUCUAAAAUGAUCAAUUACAUUUGAGGGAAAAGAAUUAAUCACUGGUAGGCCUUAAUCUUAUUUAUUCUUUUAUUUUUUAGUCCUUUUAAAUUAUUAAUCCAUUUCUUAUUUUUAUGAAUUUUUUUUUUAACAUAGAAGAGAAUAUCUCAAAAUUAAUAACCAAAAUUAUAGCAUCAAUGAGGAAAGGGCUAACGAUAUGGGAUGGAUUAAUAGAAGAAUGGUUGGAUUAAUAAAUCUCAAAGAUAGAGGCCUUAUUAAAACAAAAUCAAUAACAUAAGAACUUUAAGCUCAUUAACCCCCGUAUUACUAAAUAACGAAAGGAAAUCCCAGCCAUUUUUUAUGUAAAAAUUGAACUCUCGUAAUUGAGGCCGCUAUUUUAUUAUGUAAAAACUCACACGGAGGAAAAGAACCAACCAUCAGCGGCAUCACCCUCUUUGGGAUCUUGAUUUUCAUCGGAUUAGCACCCAGCACAUCAAGUUGGCUCGACAGGACUGCCAAGGUACUGUGAUUCUGAAUAAUUAUUUUGCUAUGCAUCAAAUAAUUGCGGCUGCAGCUGAUAAUCCACCAUAUAUUGGGUCGCAUGUGGGAUAUUUUUGUUUAUUAAUUAAUAAAAAAUAAUAAUUAUAGAGGUUUAUUAAUUAAUAAAAAAAAUACCUUCCCAAAUUCAUAUUCUAUUUAAAAGCAUGCAACAUCACAUGGGUUCUGCAGAAAUUAAUCGUGGCAGGUAACACCAAAUGGCUUCACGUGGGUUCUACAACAAUAACUCAUAGCAGGCAACAUUACAUGGGUUCACAUGGGAUCUGCAGCAAUAACUCAUGGUUUCUCAGCAUAGACAUUUUGACUUUUUCCACGCCUAUAAAAAAGGACUCCAAAUUUUUCAGAGGACAAACUAUCUUUUUCCCCAAGAAAAUUUUACUCUCUAAAAACUCAUAUUUGUAACCCAUACUCAUUCACCACUGUAACCAAUAUCUCCUGUAUUGUUCUAUAUUAUAAAUUUAAGUAAGAUUUUAGUAAUUAUAAUAUUAUUAUAAUUUAUAUUGCUGUUAUAUUUUCUGUUUUAUACAAAUAUAUUAUCUGUUUGAUCAAGGAUCCUGAUAUUACUGGUCUUGCCUUGAUCAUUCACAUCAGAAAUUUGUAUGUUUUUAUAAGUAUCCAUUUUCUUGUUACUUUAACAAAAAUCAGUAUAUAUGUUGGAAACCUGUGACUCGAUUUUUCAGAUAAUUUUCAGGUAUAACAACGAUACGUACUGAGUUUUAUUUCUUUAUUUCUUUUUUUGUGUUUAUCUGCUAUAUAUUAUUUCAAGUUGGAUGAAAACAAGCAAUAAACAAGGAAGUAAUUGGACCAACAUAAUCAUUGAAAGUAAUUCAUACAAUUCGUUGAAUAAAAAGCUAACCCUCCACAAUUCGCAGUACUCAUUCACAGUAGUAAUCACCCAUAAUCAAAAUAAGAAAAAUAAGUCCCACCAAUUUUAUAGCUCCUACAUAUUUUUUUAUUAAAAGAUUGAUCUUAAGAAAAUUAUAUAAUUAACUGAGAUUAAAAAAAAACAUUAAAUUAAAUCCAAAAACCAUUCCUCGCCACUACAACCUUAAUUUUCACAGCUCCAUCCUGGUAACAAAAUAUAAAAUGUUUUUUUUUAAGAAAAAAUAAUUAUAAAAAAUUUAAUUAAAUCCCAAACACAAUUUCAACCAUCAAUACAAACAUGAUGGAUUCCUCUAUCAUCAACCAUUUUUUUUAUAAAAUCUCAAAUAGUAAAUAAAAAAAUUCAAAACAACAUAAAAAAUGGAUUCUUUUUAAAUAUUAUCCAAAAACAAGAGAAUUUGGGUUAGUGAGUUGUGAGGGGUUAAUGAGUUUGAGGGAUCGUAUACUAUUGAUUUUGUCUUUGAAAGUUUUUGAGUCCAAUCAUUAUACUAUUAUUUGUCCAUGCCUUUGAUCUCUCCGUGGCUAACAAUGUUAUUUGCCCAAUAACUUUAAAAUAUUCUUUGGAAUAUACUUUCAUACUUAAAAAAAUAAUAAAAAAGAAAGAAUUGAUUAAGAGCUAAAAAAGGCUUUAAACAACAAAUAAAAAAGAUAAAACCAAAAACAUAAAAUUGAAACCAACAAGUCCAACCAAUUUUUUCUUUCCUUCAUUUAUAAUUACAUGUUUAUUAAUUAAAAAACAUGCAACAAAAAUUUAAUUAUGAGAUCGAGUAAAAUAAAAAAUAAAAAACACGGUAUACAUAAUUAUAUAUACAUAAAAGUCCUCGGCACUGCAACGACUACAUCAGCGGCAUCACCCUCUUUGGGAUCUUGAUUUUCAUCGGAUUAGCACACAACACAUCAAGUUGGCUGGAAAGGAGUGCCGAGGUGUGAUUCUGAAUAAUUAAUUUGCUAUGCAUCAAAUAAUUGUGGCUGCAGCUGAUAAUCCACCUGGUUUGACAUCAAAUGAUAAUUCACAUCGUUUUUUUGAAGGAUUGUGCUGCAAGUGGUAGCCGACUUGGUUGACCGAAUAGGCUGUGGACCAAGGAGAUCAAUUUCCAGGAAAUCCAUUUCAUUUGAUUGUGGUUCCUCCAGGCCACGGAUAUCUGCUGUGGAGUGUGGACGAAGGAGAUCAAUUUCCAGGAAAUCCAUUUCAUUUAAUUGGGGUUCCUGUUCAUAGACAGGGGGUGAAAGCGAAUGCAACCAUGUGCCUGAUGUGAUUGUAAUUUUGUUUUUAUUAUUAACAUGAGUAUUAGAGCAAUUUCUAUAUAUCAUGAUUAAUUAUACAGGCUUUAAAAUUAAUAAUUAUAUAAAUUAUUAAUAGCUGUAAAGUUUAUUUGAGAUAGCUAAUUGAAGUUAAAGGCAAGAUAAUUAUUAAGAGUGUUUAUUGUCCUAUUCAUUUCAUAAAAACAUAAUCUGAAAUAAACUAAAAAUCAAUUCAACCAGCUUUAAUUAGAUUCAUUUGAAAUCAAGAAACCAAACAGCUUGAUAAGACCUGCAAAAAGCUAAGGGAUAAUUUGAUAUUAAGGAUAAUCUAAUUAAAGGAAGUUUACUUUUCAAAAAAAAAAUGAGAUGAAACAAUUACAAACAUGUAGUAUAAUUUCAAUUCACAAAAGAAAAAAAAAAGGGUCAUCUCAGUGGAACAACAUAAAAAAGCAAAAGAAAGUUUUUUCAAAAGUGAAUGAAUGAUCAAUGUUUUUUAUUUUUUUCAAAAGCUUCUAUAUAAUAAUAAAUAAUAACAGGAAUAUAAAAAUAAUGACUAGUCCCUGACUUGAUGUAGUUCAAUCCGUUUUAGAAUUUUAAAACUGAAAUUAAAUCGAAUCGAAGUUUUUUUUUUUAAAAUUAGUUUUUUAAGUUUUUUUUCACACAAAAUAACGAAAAAGGUCUGCUCAGUGGGACAACAUAAAAAAGGAAACGAAAAAUUUGGUCAAAAGUGCAUAAAUGAAUUGACACAAACAUGGGUAAAUUCAGGGGUUUUGUGUUGUGCCGGUGGUGGAAACAGUUUUUGUUGCUUGUAAAUAUGCUCAAGACUUGUAUAGAGCAUCACUUUCGAGUUGUGUACGGUGAUCUUUGUGAUAUCUAUCCAUUAAUAUAUAGUAUUUAAUUUUCGAGAUGAUAUAUUAUUUUAAAUAAAAUAUGUAAUAAUUAAAAGAAUAAGAAUCAAAUUUGAUAAAUAAAAAAUUUUAAUUAAAAAAUAAUAAGAGAAAAGUAAAUAACAAUCAUAAAAAUAAAAAUAAAAAUUAAUAUAAAAAUCAAAUUAAAUCAAAUUUGAAGGGAUAAAAUUAAAAAAAAAAAGAUUCAAACAAAAUAUAUAGCAAUCAAAAGUUUGAGGAUCAAAUUUGACAUAAUUAGCAAGUAAUAUGAUAUUUCUAAAUUUUUCACAACUUUUAGAAAGUGUUUUCGGCCUAAAAUAAAAGAAAAAUACUUUCCUGAAAAUCAAGCUAAAUUUUUCGUUGAUCAGAAAGUUUUUUUUAUUGAUCAACUUUUUUAAUAAUAAAUAAACAUAAAAAAAUUUGGAAAAUAAUUUCCCAAAAACACUUUCCAAUAAACACACCCUACAUAAACAACUCAUUUUAGAUGUUAUCUAUGCAUAAUAUAUCUGGUGUUGCACUCUUUCCAAGCUAAUUUCAUGUGAUAUGAGAUAUAUAAAUAUUUAAGAUUAGUAAGUAACAAACAUACACAAAUAACAAUUCAAAAUCACACCCAUGAACAAUCACACAAUACACUCUUUUAAGUUCUUCUUUUCAUUGUUAUACAUUAUUUUAAGCAACAAUCUCUUAUCCAGGGAUUUACUAUAGUCGUAUUUGAUGGGCACAUCGCAGAAGCUUCCAAUAAAUGCAGUUUGGAGUUAUUUUAUUAUUCAUAAUAAUAAAGUGUAACAAGGGGCUCUAUAUUCAGUUAAACAAAUAGAACGCAGAAGGUGAUAAAUGUUAAUAUUUCAUUUCAAAAGCUUCAAUGUAGAUUUUUUUUUUCAAGAGCAUUUGAUGUGCAGCGUUAUAUUUAACCCCCACUCUUAUCACGUUUAAUUAGUAUUUAAAUUAAAUAUAAAUAUAGAAGUUCUUAUGAUUGAUGCUGCUAUCCACUGAGAGAUUACGAUGAAAAGAAAAGAAAUUAAACCUCGUCGUAUUAUAGAAAUACUGGGCACAACUUUUGUUACCCCUAAAUUAUUAUACAAGCUCGACUCACCAUUACCUCAUAUUCAUCCAUGUAGGUUAUGGUGAGCUGGACUCAUCUAAUAUAGUAAUAUUAACAUAAAAUCUUACCAAGUUAAAAUUUGCAAAGGUAUUUUUUUAAAAAAAAUUCUACAUGUUUUUUUUUAUCUUUCAACAUUUCCCUUCUUAAAGAUCGAGCUUCAUAAUUUAUUGAUGUUUUCUUUUUAUAAGAUUAUUUUAGUUUUAUGACCCGUAUUGCGAUUUUAGCCGGUAUUGCGAGUUUCGCAGAUUGACCUAGAUUUUUUUUUUUUUAAUUUCAUCAUUCAAUAUUGGAUUGAUUAUGAAUUAAGCUUCAUGAUUUAAUUCAGUUUAUUUUCUAUUUUUUUCAAAAAUUAUAGUUUAUGAUAACACUUUAUAUCCUCACUAACACAUAUAAAAAAGUCCUACAAAAAUAUCUAAUUAUUAACAAAAUUAUUAUUAUUAUUAUUAAACUAAUAACUAUAAAGUUCUUAUUUUAAAUAUUAUAAAUUUUUCAUUGAAUUAAAAAAAAAAACUUAGUCACCACCCUCUUAACCAAACCAAAAAACAAAAGAAAUCCAUAAAUCAAGUUUAGAAUCUCAAACUUCAAUAUUCCUAUCACAAACAACCAACUUUGAUGUUCCCAUCACAAACACUAAUUCCUCUCCCAUUGCAAUUAUUCCAUCUCAAACCUUUGACUAGGGAGUGUUUAUUUAGUUAAACUCAAUUAUUUCUUGGGUCUAGCCAGCGUUAGAUCCAACACGUGUUGGCUUGACACAUUACCAAUUAAGCUCAAUCAUGGUUAGGUCUAAUUAACGCUAGACCUAUCAAGAUUUGGAUAUGGCGGUGGCUAGACCUAGUCAUUUCUUGGGUCUAGCUAGUGCUAGAUCCACCGCGCCUAGGUCUGGCUAACACCAGACUCAAUAUGUUUGGGCUUGGCGCAUUGCUAUUUAUAAACGAAGCAAGUUCAAUUUUGGUGUAAAUAUUGAUGUAGAUUAUAUAUAUUAAUGUUUAUGUAUUUAUGUGUUUAUAUAGUUGUAAAUAUAAAUAAUAAAAAGUGUUGGCGCAUCUAAGAGAAAAGUAUAGAAGUUUAUUAAUUAAUUAAAAAAAAGUACCUCCCGAAAUUCAUUUUCUAUUUCAAAUCAUGCCUACCAAACCGACAAUUUGUUAGGCUUAUAAAAACAAACUAUUACUAAAUUAAUAUUUUUGAUAGGGUAUGGAUAUUGUGUAUUAAUAUUUACAUGUAUGUUGUGUUUGUUUAGAAUUUUGAAUAUAAAAAUGUUAAAAAUAUAUUUAACUAAAAAGAUAAAAAGAAAAUUAUAGAAUUCAAAACAUAAAUUAUAUUGUGAUAUAUUUUCUGUCUUUUUUUUUAUUGAAUUUAAAAAUAAUGAGUGAACUUGGAGCAAUCCAACCACAAAAAGAAAAUGACAUAGGGGGAGGGUAUGUACGUAGUGGGAGAAGCAACUAAAUAUAGGGGAAGAAAAAAACAUUCAGCUUAUUUACAAAUCAUUUUCAAAAGAAGGAAAAUUGAAAAACUCUAUUUCUGGCCUCUCAGGUAAAGGAACCUGAAUGAAGAAAUUAAACGAGAAAGGUUUUUUAAUUUUCCUGCAGGGAGAGAGAGAGAGAGAGAGAGAGAAACCUGAAGAGAGGAAAUUAGGGAUUAGGGAUUUGGAAGCAUUGGAAAUUUAUAUAAAAAAUAAUUAAAAAAAAAACAUUAUUAAAAGUCUAGCUAAUCAAUCAUAAGUCAUAACUUCAAAAGUGCAACGCAAAAAUUAGAGCAAUUUAAUUAUAGGCUCAAAUUGUACGUAAGAAAUUAAUCAGUUUCGGCUAUUUUAGCUUGUGACCAGCAGUACAUGCUAUACUACUAGCAGCAUCAUAUUAUAGGUUCAAUAUUUUUUGAAGCAUCUGCCUGUCCCAUAAAUCUCAAGAACAUGAACAAAAGCCAUGAACCUGGCUGCCUGCAGACAGGAAUGUUUCUGUAUCUGUUGGUAUUUAGCAAACAUAUCUGUCCAUAUAGACUUUGUUAAGCUCUAGUUUGUAAGUUUAUAUAAAUUGCUGCAAACUUCCUGUUCCCAUUUCCAUUUCCAAAGCCACGAGCUGCUCAACAACAUUGUAAUCAUUUUGCUUUCUCUUGUGAGACUGCUAUUGCUAAAAGAAUUAUCAAUAAAUAUCUUCCGAGAAGUGGUUUACAGAGAUGGACUUUCUUCCUCUUCUUCUGUUUACUCUUUCCCUUUCAUUUUUUCCCUUCCUACCAAGUAGAUAGGUGUUUAACUUGAAGAUUAUGAGGGUUAUUUUACGCCCGAAUCGUGUACAGUAUUUGUGAAGCUUAUUUUCUUAGCGAACUAUAUUGUUUUUCUUUUUGGUUUCUAGCUGUAUGGUUAUGGUGAUUAUGUCGCUUUCCAUGUCAUAGAAUCCGUGGAUAUCUGGGAAAAUCUCAUUCAUUGGGACUUCAAGCAUGCAGUUGUUGACAGCUUCCUUGAUUGUAGAUGAUGGGGAACGUUGUUUAACAAUUUGUUCUCUCUUUCCCAGUUCUCUAGUUCAAAAGAAAUGGAGAUGCCUAUCUUUAUGAUCUCGGCAGCACGCAUGGCACCUUUAUUAACAAGAAUCGGGUCAGCAAAAAUACGCUUUUUAUAUUUAAAUUGUAUGCGUUUCUUAAAAGGUCUGAUGCAAGUGAUUCACUGAUACUGUCGAGGGAACUUGUGAUGUGUGAUCCAUCACAUGUUAUCCAAUAUAAAUGUGGCAAAUAUUUGUUAGUAGUCUGUCAUACAGUUAUGUAAUCUUGCUUGAAUAGCAAGGACGCAUCAAUUGCUGUAAUGUAUCAUGUGUUGUAGGAAGUUGUCCGGAAAAUUCUUAGAGAUGCUAAGAUUCGGCAAGCCUCACUCCAACGAGCAAGGUUGGGAGCAGCUCUUGCUGAUGGUAUCUCAUGGGACAUGGGAGAAGUAGUUGCUAUUGAAGAAGCUGAGGUUAUUGUCAGUCCAUACAUUUUCUGGAUGUAAUCUUGUGAGAAUUAUUGUUUUUGGCUUUUUAUUACUGUCAGCAGAUACGACUUCUCUUUUGUCCACACUUUUCCCUAAGCUGCUCUGCAAUAAAUAUAGAACAAGUGAGAUUACCUUUGUAUGCACUUUUGUGUAAAGAGAAUUGCUUAAAACUAUUAUUUGUUCUGUAUGAAGCAUGCAUGUUGGACAAUAGUAGUGUUCAUUUAUAGUUGUCAACACUCUGCCAGCCUUACCUCCUUGUUUCCUCCUUGUACAGAAAUGAUGCUUUUUUAGAAAUCCAGAAAAAGAAAAAAGAUAAUCAUUGAGAAUUUGUUGUUCAAUCCCACCUAGGAACUUGAAGACCAACUAGUUUACGUACUCGUGUCAAAUUUACCUCCAGGUCUAUUUCAUUUUUUGGAAUUAUCUGGUAUACCAGAACUUCUAUAAAUCCUAAAUUAGACUCUUUUGCAUGAUAAAAAGCCGAUACUCUUCUCUGUUUGUUUAUGUUGUUUUGGAUAACUAGGAUGAUGUUGAUGAAGUAGCAUGGCACACUACAAAGGGCAGCUUACAGAGAAGCAGGAGAAAACCCGUGAUAAAAUAAUAAAAAGGUAAGUGGUUUUACGUUUCAUACUUCGAGUUCCUCAUUUCUAGAUAUUUGAUGUCAAACACAAUGAUGAUUUCGCUAGCCUUGAACACGAGACCAAUCUGCAUCCAGUUUUUCAAUCCCCUUCAGAUUUAUGUUCUAGUGUCAUUUAAAAUGUUCAUCCUGUUACCUAUACUCCAAAUCGAAGGGCUAUUUUUAGUGAUGACUUCUUUCCUUUUCUCUUUCUUCUCACUGUCAUGCCUUGCUUUUUCGCUGGUAUUAGAAGUGUUCAAUCUAAAUGGUUGUAUGGUUUAUUGAUGGAGAAGAAAAAACAUUUCAUCAUCGCUGCAUUAGUCGCUCAUUUCCUGAUUUUCUUGUCAGUGCUGAAUAAACUGUGCAGCUCGGAAAGGAACUAGCCUUUCUACAAUCUGAACUGGGCAGGAUCUUGUUUCUAUUGAAGAUUGCUGAUCCAUCAGGAGAAGCUGAUCAGAAAAGGGAUUCGCGAGUGAAGGAUAAGAAACCUGAUAAAGCAGAGGUGCCUGUUUCUGCCACCAAAAAGCAACCACCCACCCAGGGGACCAAAGAAAAGUAGUGCAUCGGGAAAAUUGACCGAUGUCUCCAGACUAGAUUGUCAUUGAUGUUUUUGGUGUUAAAAUGAAAAUUAUCAGGGUGUUAUAAUUAUAAAAUUUUUACUAUAUUAAAAUAGUAUUUGUAAAUAUUCAUGAUUAAUAUUCUAUUAAAACUGAACACUGAAAAAAAAAAUUAUUCUCAUAAACUGAAAUAUAAGAAAUACUUAGAAUUAAUAUGCAGAUGUUUGUCAAAUGAUAAGUAUAAUGAACUGACUCUUAAGAAAAUUUCAUAUAAAAAUAUCAUUUAUAUUCAUAGAAAGGCUCACGUGAUAAAUAUAUAAGUAAUCAUUAGAUUUGAAAUCACUAAAUUAUCAUAUAUAAAAAUUAUUAUAUUUUGAUCUUGACCACAUGUUAUCAUAAUCAAGGGUAACAAACAAUCAAAUAUUAGACAUAACAAAUAUUUCAAAAAAAAUUUGACAUCACAUUAAUCUUUUCAAGCAGUUACUCUAAAAAGUUACCUAAAACUUAUUUUAUAACUAAAACGUGCAAACACAAUAAACUCUCCUUGAACCUCAUUUAAAAACUUAUUUGAAUUUAUUAUGUUACUCACACUUGCAUCUUCUUCAUAUGGUUUAACUAAAAAGUUUUCAAAAAUUCAACAACUAAACGAGACAAAAUAGAGUCUUUCUUGAUUUUUUUUUCACAAACUCACUUGGACUUAUUGUAUAAAGUCCAUUUUCUUUCACACUAUUUUUUCUUGUUUUUAUGAUCAGGUCUUAGAGGUAAUCCAAUAAGUUAGAUAUUUCUAUUCUUAAAAAUAAAAGAACAUGAAUAUAAUUUACUAGAAAUAGUGAUGGCCAUAUCAUAUAGCCAUGACCUAUUCAAAAUGACAUAUUGUAUAUCUAUUGGAUUCAUAUCACACCAAAUUUUAUAAUGAUAAUCUAAGAAUUUGAUAGAAAAAAAAUAUAUUUCUCUGAUUGCUACUAAGGUGGUGUUAAUCCAUGAUAUGUUAUAUGACUUAUAAUAUGUAAUAGACUUUAAAUCUAAACGAGUUACAAUAUUAGAAAAUACUACAUUAAUACAACUUUUAUUAUCAAUGGUCAUUUUGCGACUUUUAUCCACACACUUGAUAUAGGUUUGAAAAAUAGCAAUCAUUCUCCAAUUUUCAGUUCUCUCGGGUAAUGUCAAGGCACAUUUGACUAUACCUAACCUAGUUGUCACAAACUCUAUAGUAUUAUACUCACGAUUGAUUCUAAAGAUAUCACUCAAGAUUGAGUCUAUAAUAAUUAUAAAUUUACAUGACAUAAAUACAAGCAACACUAGCUUAGCUUGUAGAUCACAAACAUAUCUUUUAAGUAAAAACACAAUACAAAAAUAAAGCUAUUUUUUUUAAAAAAUAUGAAGAUUAAUCAAGAUUAUAAUAUAUAUAAAAAACCUAUGAACAUGCAAUACUAAACCUUUAAAUGUAAAAGGGUCAACCAAACACUUAUCUCAACUUUUUACAAAUUUAGGCAACUUUGAUAAAUAAUAAAAAGGAUUAGUUGCUAAAUAUUAAUGACAAAGUUAGUUGAUAAGUAAAAAUAUAUAGAAUAAAAUGAAAGAUGGGAUUUUUCUCUAUUAAAUUUAUUUAUUUUAUAGGCAUAAAAAUAAUAUUAAUGACAACUUUGAAUAACAAGUACAAAAAUAGAAAAAUAAAAUUCAACUAAUCAAAAGAUUUUGUUAUUUAUCACCACCAUGCUUGACAGGAUCAUGCAAGUUAAGUUGUUAAUAAUGCAGGUAGCAACGCUCACUUAGUGUUGGAUAACUUGUCUGUUGAUGUCAUUAUUUUUUUAAAAAAAUUACUUUAAUUUUUUUACUACAAUUUUUUUAAUUAAGAUAGAAGAAAGAAGUAAAAAAAAUACAAAUAAAAAUAAUAAUUACAAAAUGGAAAUUUGGCAGAAGACUCAUUUAAUUCCAUUCUCUUUCAUGUCUCUCUCAGAGUUUGAUUUCCUGUGUUGUUAUGAUCCUCAUACAAAUGAACAGAGUAUGGCUAUUGCUGGUAUGGAUUGAUUUGUAAUGGUGAAUCUCAAAUGCGGCCAUCUGGUGGUUGUUAGUGUUUUGUUUUCUGUAUGUGGUGGUGGCUAAUGGGUGUUGCUUUGGUGGUUAAGAAGAUGCAUUGGAACUAUGGUGGGUCACAAUGAUCACAAGUCUCUUCAUUCAUUCUUGUUCAAUGCAAGAACCCAGCGAAGCCUAUUCCCAGAACAAAAUAAAUAUGCUUGCUAUACAACAGCAUUCAGAGCUGUGUCAAAACUCACAGACCAAAUGAAGAUCUUCAAUGCUUGACGACUCCUUUCUAGAUACUAUAUACAAUAGAGAGGUUAGUCUCUAGCAGGAAGUUCUUCAUUAGAUCACAGGUUUCCAUAGCCAGGCUUGGCAAGGAACAAAGAAUUAAUGACACCCAUAAAAGAAGGGGGCCACGUUGGUGUAGCAAUGAGAGGAGGAGCCCUUGCACUGAAUCAGUUAAAGAAAUAAGGUGAUUCCAACACUUCCCUCAGCUCAAAGUCUCCCCGGUCAGGCAAGGGCGGAAAAGACAACGUGGGAAAAGACUUUUCAAAGCUCUCCAACAACUGCAUACAAAUCCAACAGUAUAAAUGAUGAGUUCUGCUAAAAAAGAAAAAACCCUCAGACUUGGAUUUGACACUGCACAAUUCUUUUAAAUGCUAAUUCAAGUUGAAAUUUAUAGGCAUUUUGUUUUAUCCCAAAACAUAAUUGAAACAGCAGAUGAGAACAUAUUAUAAGGAAUGCUUUAAUUAACUGCAACAAGUGUUGUUUCUUUAAACAUAUGGUACGUAUCUCUUUUCUUUGUUUUUUUAUUCACAACCAAAACAACCGCAAUCGAAUAAAGCUAGUAAAAAAUAGUUAAUUUCCUCUUAUCCGCUCUGCCAAAUAAACUUCAAAAAUAUUGCAUUGGGUUUUUGCCUCCUGCAAAUAUAUAAUGAUGCCAAUGAAGGGGCCAUUGCCCUUAUAAGUUUUAGAACAAUAUAGCAGUGCUAAUACUUACAUUCUCCAAUAUAGGUGUUUCAUAGAGUUCAACAAAUUUUUCCCUCAGUAUCCUGUUCAUUUCUUCCACAUCACAUGCAUGCGUCCAAUAUGAAUCGUGAACUCCUGUGAUGGUAUGCCAAUAUGCAGUAAUGAGAAAUCAAAACUAGGAAUAGGACAGCAAUUGAGACAAAAUCCAGCUAUGAGUGAGAAACCUGCAAAGUUUAAGCCUGCCCCUUUGCAGGCAACUGCAGUCAUCAUCAUAUGAGAACUAUCAAGGGAAUGAACAAAAUUUGGUGGGAAAGCUGUUCCCCCUUUGUUUUAGUAUUUUGGUCACAGUCCAGACUAAAUAAAGUAAAAGAACUGCCAAACUUUGAGAUCCAAGAGCCAGAAGGUACAACCUUUUCCCCCUUUGUUUUAGUAUUUUGGUCACAGUCCAGACUAAAUAAAGAAAAAAAUCAGGGCAAUUUAGCUAGACAAAAAGCCAAGGCACCCACUGAAGCCUACCAGAAAUCAUGUUCAGAAAAAUUGGUUCAGAAAAUUGGGAAACAGCUAGCAGAAUGUACCAAUGUAUACUAUAUCUGUGAUGUUUUGUAAUAAAAAGGAAUGAGAAAAUACAAUAAAGCCCUUGGAGGCUUAAAGAGAGGGUAAAUGAUUGAAGGGUAUUGUGGUAAUUGACCAAUAGUUGAUAAAUAUAUAUAAGAAAAAAAAAAAAAAGAAUGAUCUGAUUUUGAGAGAAAGAGAGUUACGGGAGAAGAGAAGAAAAGAGGAAGAAGAAGAAAAGAAAGGAGAGAAGGAAAGAAAGGAGAAAAGAAGUAGAGGAAAUAAGUAAAAAGGUAAGAUUUAUGGUUUUAAGUGUAUAAUAUGUUAAAUUUCGGUUUUGAUUAAUUUUGAGAGUUUUGAAGUUUGUAUUUUGAGUUAAUUGAUGAAUUAGUUUGAAUUAAGGGGUUGAUUGAUGUGGAUAUUUGAUUAAUUAGUUGAUUUUGAGAGAUUGAAUUAAAGGAUAAUGAUUUUGAGUUAUGAUUUUGUUUAAAUGGUGAAAUUGUGUUAGAAAUCAGGGGAUAACAGUAGGUGAUCUGUUGAAAUUCUGAGUUUGAGGUUGAAGAUGACGAAAAUUCAGUUUGGUCCCUCAAUUUAUGGAAAUUGCAGUUUAGUCCCCGAACUUUGGAAAUUUUACAGAUUGGUCCCUGGGGCAUAAAUUGAGGUUCUGAACAGAACUGAGGAUGAUUUAAGGACAAAAUUCCAGUAUAAUUAAUAUUUUCAGUUUGGUCCUCCAAUUUGACAAAAAGUAUAAUUUGACCCUAAAAAUUUGGUAAAGUUCCAGAAUGGUCCUUGGAGCAUAAUGAUAUAUCCUGGACAGAAUUGAGGAUUAAUUAUGGACAGAAUUUCAGUAUGGUUAUAUAUUUACAAUUCAGUCCUCAAAUUUUGGUAAAAUUACGUUUUGGUCCCUGUUUUGGAAAAUUGUCGUUUUAGUCCCUAAACUUGGGAGAUUAAGCCCGGUUUAUUUUAUGCUUUGGGAUCUUUUGUUUGAUCUGUUUUUGAGUAUAUUUCAUAUAUUUAUUGUAGGUUCUCCUAACGAUCCUUAAUCGAUUUCCGGGUCUUUUGUCUGACAUUCCUUUUAGUUCUAUAUUGUCCGGGUGAGUGAAUAAUCUUUAAUAUGCAUAUAAUAUAAAUAAAUAUGUAUGUUGAUUAUACAAUGAGUACGACUAGUAAGUUUCUUGAAUAUUUAUAUAUGUUGCUUUAUUUUUCGAGUACUCAUUUAUUCUUGAAUUUGCAUUCGCAAUCUGUCAAAGUAAAUUCUAUUUGAUAUGAUAUACGUUUCUUUGAUGAUUAUGUGAAUAUCUGUUAUGCCUUGAUAUGGGACUUGUCAGUACUCCAUGCUAACGGAGAAUAGUUAGCCUGUGUGCACAUAGUAUUCUGUUACCUAGCUGGUGAGAGAGGCAUCAGCCUGUGGCAUUGAUCAUCCCAUAGUGGUCACCGACGGGUGUCAUCUGGUCACCGACGGGUGUCAUCUGGUCACCUUCGGGUGUCAUCUGAUCUCUGACAUGUAAUCCACUACGUUAUGAUAAUAUGUUACGUUAUGAUAAUAUGUUUAGUAAGUAUAUGUAUACGUAUAUGUAUAUUAAGAUAAAUCAUCUUACAAAUUAUAAUAUCUGAAAUAUCUGAAAUGUAUAUUAAAUGUUAUUCCCCUCACUGAGUUGGUUGAACUCACCCUCAUUUUUAAUAUUAUUUCAGGUUCUUAUUCUUAGUUUCUGAUAGCAGUUGGACUUUGUUGAGUGUUUCCGCUUCUUCAGUUCUGGUCGGUAUGCCUUGCUUGUUCGCGAGGUUUUCCUUUCAGUUUUGAUUUGAUGUCUUAGACGCUCCACUAUUACCUUAUUUUAAUUACGUUUGGAUUUUGACAAUGUAAAUGUAUUAUGAAUUAUUAUUUUUGUUUUAAUAACUAUCUUUCGGUUUUAUCAGUAUUUGAAUAAUAUAAUAUUUCUGAAUAUUAUGAGCCGCUGCGUAUUUUGGAACAAAUUGUUCUUUUGAUAUGUCUGUUCUGAGGCUUAGCGUAGGUGAGGUGUCCUUUCGACACCGCUCCUGCGUUGCCGGUCACGGAUCCGGGAUUCGGGUCGUGACAAUAUCCUCAAACAACAUUUCAGCAAUAAAAACAGGUUAUUUCAGAUUUUUCACAAUUUCUUGUGUUAUCAAAAUCUUAGCACAGACUCGAAGUCAAAGUAAAUAUUAUGGAAUCUUGAUUAUCAAAGCAGAAACGAGCAACAAAGAUAAGUAACGUUACCUUGUCAGUUUCUUUUUGUAGUAUUAAAACCUGUAGGGAAGUUUUGAUCUGCAGCAAUUGCACAAAAGGAAGAUAAGAGUACUCAAAAUGCCCUCUCUAUCGAUAUGAAUGUAACAAAAUGCGAAUCAUUUUUUUUUUUUCCUGUCAGUACUAUAUGAUCUACUAUGCUUCUGCAAAUGUUAUAGAACUCACACUUCGCGUCCCUAAUUUACGAUAAGGUUGUACAACAGGAAGUCCUAGGGGAGUUGUCCACCGCACUGGCUCAUUUUCAGAUGCGAUAAUCUGGUCAGGUAAAAUGCAAAGAGAAAAUGUAAACAGAAUGUCAGUUGUUGGUAUAGAAACUAGAUAAAAAAAUAACCAAAAAAGGAAAAUCAACAUAAAGGAAAAACAAAUAAAUUGAGACAGACUCACCUUUGCACAAUCCCCAAGCCAGUUCAUGAUACUUCGUGCAGCUUCAAACAUCUCUCCUAAGGCAGUUAAGGUCACCUGAUCAAGCAACAAUAUAAAAUAUUGUCAGUGACAUGUUCUAUGAAAAAGAGUAAAGCUAAGGAAUUAUGAAUCAUCACUGUUGGGACGCUCCCUUCACACCUUUGCAGCAUAGCAAGAACAACCAAAGAUAUCUGACUCCUCUGUGAUACCACGCUCCUUUAACCUCCUUUUGAUCUGGUCUCUAGCACCAAUGUAAGUUACACCAUAUACAGAUGUCAUCACUGUCUGUUUCACCAAUUUCCUAUCCACCUAGAUGGAGUCAAACCACCAUUAGUUUGAAAGUAAAAGAACUUAUUCACAUUGAAAAAUGGCAAGGUACACCCUAUCUUUUGAAUGGGCCAAAAAAAAAAGGAAAAGCAUGAAACAGUGUUGACCCAAUAGUAACUAAGCAAUCCCUUAGUGACAGGAGACCACUAUGAUCAACAAUCAAAGCAUGCAAAAAACCUGGUUUAUUAAUUCUUUUGCACGCAAUGCAUCAGGAAAAACAUCUGGAUCUUUCUGUGCAUCCCUCCGCAUGAUAUCAAGUACUCUGCUUCGCAAAAGUGCAUGUUUAUCAUAGCAUCCUUUUGCAGAUAUCUGCUUGCUUCACAUCUAGAAAUGCACUACAGAAAUAUAGGAUUGAAAAAGAAAAAUUCUUGUAGAGGCUUUACAAAUUUGGCUCCAAUCAAACAUAUCCAAUGAAUACUACAGGACUUUGACUACUGCACAUGAAGGGCUAACAUAUUUAUCUGGUCAAAGGCCAUGAAAUAAGAGCAUUGCUGACUAAAGUUUUGCUUUGAUUGAAUUGAAACAAAUUAAAGUUCCUAAUUUAAGCAGAAAUAUGAAGCUUCAAUUGGAUGUUACUACUUCAUUACAAAUACCUGGAUUUCCUUGAAAGCCAGAAAACUCGGCCAGUGAAAUACAUUCUUCUUUUAGUUUUGUGAGAGUAGGGCUUCCAAACUCUUAGUCUUUGGGAUGAUAAUGUUAAUUGCAGAUUUCUAUUCGAUCCAAUACAUGCUGGUAGGUAUGCUUCAGAAAAACUCGGACCCAAUUAGGAAGCAUUUUUGGUUUAUAUCCCUAGGAUCAUAUUUGCGGGUCAUCCUAUUAAGAGUUGGUUAUAAAUCUAAAAAUUCAGAUUCUGUCCUCAUGUAAUUAAAUGGAACUUCAGAUUUAAAGAAGAGUAUCCCUUUAUUAAGCCCUCUAACCAAGAGUUUCCACAAUUUUCAGCACAAGUUCUUUAGUUCCUCAAAAAAUCUCUGCGUUUUCAAAUCUUCGACCUAAUCUUUAAAUCAGUCUGAGUAAAAACAACCAGCUCCAUUGGUUUGCUUCAACAAAAGCUCAUCUUAGCUCAAAUCUUUUCUACUGUAUCAUGAGGAAACCCCUUACCUAGCAGCUAUUCCCGAGUAGACAUCUGCAGGCUUCUCUCCUGCAACUAGAUUAACAGCAGCUGCUCCCAACUGUUCAAGAUUCCAAUGAUUUAACAAAAGCAGAGGGAUUCAAAAUAUAAUCAAAUGCAUUACUUUCCUAUUCAAAAAUAAAAACGAAGUUCAAAAAAUAAAAGUUUGCAGACCACUUCUAAAAAACACGACUUGAAUUCAACAAUGAUUGGCAUCAGCACAGUGCCUUAGGAAACGAAAAUCAGACAAAAAGAUGGUUUUGUUUAUCAGCAGUAAUCAUAAAGAAAAGAAAAACUUCAUAACAUCAUCCAAUUCAAGUUAAGGACGUUACCUUGUCUCUUCCAAGUGCAGCGUAGUGUUGUAGGCCAUUGCAGGAACCAUCCUACAAAAAACCAUAAGAGGGAAGGUGUACAUCAGAAGGCAGAACAGGUUAUGAGAAAAAUUAUAGGCCAGAAGAACAAAGAUAAGCCCAGGGAAGAGUACUUAAGUUGAUUGUCCCACAUAGUCCAACAGUUUUUUAUGUAAUAGAACCAAUAGAAACCACUUAAGCUUAUCAUUUUAUUUGUUUUCCUAAAGCAUACAAGGUACAAUAACAAAGAAUUUUGACUCUCCUUUUACCAUUCAUCUUCCUAACACCUCUGCCUCUCUCAAUCCAUUCCCUAACAUUCCAGUAAAAUUGUGCUCAAUUGGGUAGGAUGCUUUACAAUCCUUAAAAAAUGUCCAUAAAAAGUUUAUAUGAGCACAAUGCAAUACAUUGAUAAGAUAUACCUGAUGAACAGGAAUAUGUGAAAUAUAUGUUUCUGGCGAGGAGCUUCUCAAAGCUUCAGUCAGGUUAAUGCACACAGCCAAGAACUGAAAUGGAUCUUCUGCAUGCAACCACCAACGCUUUCCGUCAAGUGGUUUGUCUGCAGAAUCAAAUAUAUCAUCAAGGUGAUUCUCAGUAAAAGCUAUCCGUCCCUCAUAAGAUAGCUUGUCUACACCACCAGCAAAUAGAUUUGCAAUGUGUAUCUUCAGCCAGCGUAAGCCUGACUUUCCAAGAGGGCAUCCCUCUGCGAACUCCAAAAUCCCCCGGCACAGAUCUGAUCCAAGAUGGUUUAAGUAUGGGUGCAUGGGGUAGGCACGCCCACGAAAGUCAAUAUUG
This 32976-nucleotide long non-coding RNA is filed under the name Populus tremula. RNAcentral describes it as "long non-coding RNA (PTRE_LNC001337)". Lineage: Eukaryota; Viridiplantae; Streptophyta; Magnoliopsida; Malpighiales; Salicaceae. The record is from RNAcentral.